Molecule: ribosomal RNA, 253 nt
Filed under: uncultured bacterium
Lineage: Bacteria
Description: partial 16S ribosomal RNA
Rfam family: Bacterial small subunit ribosomal RNA
Source: RNAcentral
UACGGGGGGAGCAAGCGUUGUUCGGAUUUACUGGGCGUAAAGCGCACGUAGGCGGGUUGUUAAGUCAGGGGUGAAAUCCUGGAGCUCAACUCCAGAACUGCCUUUGAUACUGGCAACCUAGAGGCUGGAAGAGGUUAGUGGAAUUCCCAGUGUAGAGGUGAAAUUCGUAGAUAUUGGGAAGAACACCAGUGGCGAAGGCGGCUAACUGGUCCAGAUCUGACACUGAGGAGCGAAAGCGUGGGGAGCGAACAGG